UGGCUCAGAACGAACGCUGGCGGCAGGCCUAACACAUGCAAGUCGAACGUGAAGCCACCUUCGGGUGGUGGAAAGUGGCAGACGGGUGAGUAACGCGUGGGAACGUACCUUUCGGUUCGGAAUAACCCAGGGAAACUUGGGCUAAUACCGGAUACGCCCUUCGGGGGAAAGAUUCAUUGCCGAAAGAUCGGCCCGCGUCGGAUUAGCUAGUUGGUAGGGUAAUGUCUUACCAAGGCGACGGUAAUAGCUGGUGGAGGGGANGACCANCCACACU
Molecule: ribosomal RNA, 274 nt
Filed under: uncultured Alphaproteobacteria bacterium
Lineage: Bacteria; Pseudomonadati; Pseudomonadota; Alphaproteobacteria
Description: partial 16S ribosomal RNA
Rfam family: Bacterial small subunit ribosomal RNA
Source: RNAcentral